This 453-nucleotide ribosomal RNA is filed under the name uncultured marine bacterium. Its description in RNAcentral is "bacterial SSU rRNA". It matches the Rfam family "Bacterial small subunit ribosomal RNA", at positions 360 to 804 of the family's 1533-position model. The record is from RNAcentral.
AAUAUUGCGCAAUGGACGAAAGUCUGACGCAGCGACGCCGCGUGGAGGAUGAAGGUUUUCGGAUCGUAAGCUCCUGUCAAGAGGGAAGAAACCUAUUAAGAAUAAUACUCUUAGUAAUUGACGGUACCUAUAGAGGAAGCACCGGAUAAUUCAGUGCCAGCAGCCGCGGUAAUAGUGAAGGUGCAAGCGUUAAUCGGAAUCACUGGGCGUAAAGCGCUUGUAGGUGGCUUUGUAAGUCAGAUGUGAAAGCCCACGGCUCAACCGUGGAAUCGCAUUUGAUAGUGCAUCGCUAGAGUAUAGGAGAGGGAAGUGGAAUUUUUGGUGUAGGAGUGAAAUCCGUAGAGAUCAGAAGGAACACCGGUGGCGAAGGCGACUUCCUGGACUAUUACUGACACUGAGGAGCGAAAGCGUGGGGAGCAAACAGGAUUAGAUACCCUGGUAGUCCACGCCGUA